This 23-nucleotide microRNA is filed under the name Echinops telfairi (small Madagascar hedgehog). Lineage: Eukaryota; Metazoa; Chordata; Mammalia; Afrosoricida; Tenrecidae. The record is from RNAcentral. RNAcentral also lists the same sequence under 5 other names.
AGGUUGUCCAUGGUGUGUUCAUU